This 465-nucleotide ribosomal RNA is filed under the name uncultured bacterium. RNAcentral describes it as "partial 16S ribosomal RNA". It matches the Rfam family "Bacterial small subunit ribosomal RNA", at positions 28 to 507 of the family's 1533-position model. The record is from RNAcentral.
GACGAACGCUGGCGGCGUGCUUAACACAUGCAAGUCGUACGGUAAGGCCCUUUCGGGGGUACACGAGUGGCGAACGGGUGAGUAACACGUGAGUAACCUGCCCACAACUUUGGGAUAACGCUAGGAAACUGGUGCUAAUACUGGAUAUGUGCUCCUGCUGCAUGGUGGGGGUUGGAAAGCUCCGGCGGUUGUGGAUGGACUCGCGGGCUAUCAGCUUGGUGGUGGGGUAGUGGCCUACCAAGGCGGCGACGGGUAGCCGGCCUGGGUGGGUGACCGGCCAAAAUGGGGCUGGGAUACGGCCCAGGCUCCUACGGGGAGCAACAGGGGGGAAAAUUGCACAAAUGGGGGAAACCUGGUGCAACAACGCCGCGGGCGGGAUUACGGGCUUCGGGUUGUAAACCGCUUUCAGCAGGGACGAAACUUUUUGUGACGGUACCUGCAGAAGAAGCACCGGCUAACUACGUG